AGUGAACGCUGGCGGCAGGCCUAACACAUGCAAGUCGAACGGCAGCACGGCAGUAGCAAUACUGUGGGUGGCGAGUGGCGGACGGGUGAGGAAUACAUCGGGAUCUACCCUGUUGUGGGGGAUAACGUAGGGAAACUUACGCUAAUACCGCAUAAGAACUGAGGUUGAAAGCGGCGGACCGCAAGGCGUCGCGCGAUUGGCUGAACCGAUGUCCGAUUAGCUAGUUGGCGGGGUAAAGGCCCACCAAGGCGACGAUCGGUAGCUGGUCUGAGAGGACGACCAGCCACACUGGAACUGAGACACGGUCCAGACUCCUACGGGAGGCAGCAGUGGGGAAUAUUGGACAAUGGGCGCAAGCCUGAUCCAGCCAUGCCGCGUGGGUGAAGAAGG
RNAcentral lists this ribosomal RNA (390 nucleotides) under uncultured bacterium. Its description in RNAcentral is "bacterial SSU rRNA". It matches the Rfam family "Bacterial small subunit ribosomal RNA", at positions 30 to 414 of the family's 1533-position model. The record is from RNAcentral.